Macadamia integrifolia is the source of this 794-nucleotide long non-coding RNA. RefSeq lists it as uncharacterized. The transcript has 2 exons. NCBI's taxonomy places the organism in Eukaryota, Viridiplantae, Streptophyta, Magnoliopsida, Proteales, Proteaceae. The record is from RefSeq and is a predicted model, not a curated record.
CAUGUAAAAAAAAUUUCACAUAUACAUUAAAAUUUCCCAUUUUGUUUUCCGACCAAAUUAAGAAGAAAAAACAAAACCAUGUUCUCAUCGUCUCUCAAUCACUCUCGCGACUCUCAAGUCUCACCCCGCUCAUGACUCGAUCUCUCUCUCACGCAACUCUCAGUGCUCUCAUGACUCUCACCCUGCUCACAGGGUGAGGCGAUCUCUCUCUCAAGCGACUCUCAUUCUGCUCAAGCAGGGUGAGACGAUCUCUCUAACUCUCAUUCUAUUCGUGGUUUUCCUUCUCAACAAGUUGUUGGUUCUCUUCCUCAGGAGAAGAAUUUGGAAUCUCUAAUCCUCAGAUAGAAGUGCAAAAGGAUUGUGUGUCACUACUUCCAUGGUCCAAACCCACCUUCCAACUCAAAAUGUUUAAAGUAAUGCAAUUGGGCUGGGAUCUUUUUGAACAUUAGAUGUUUUUCAUGAACAAUAAUGUCAUAGAUGAAGUUGAUUAGUUUUGUAUCAGAUGAACUUAAUAUGAUUUUUCUAUUCAUUUCUGUGAAAUGAGAAGUUACAAAGUCUUUUAGUUGAAAACAAACUUCUAAUAUGAUCACUGAACAUUUUUCCAAGGAUCGUCACUGUACUUGUUGUGAAAGCUUUACUUCUUUUUAUAAGUUCUAGUAUUUGGCUUCACAGUUCAUUAUAUCACCACAUGCCUUCACAAGCAGCAAGCCAAACAGACAGAGGUUUACACUUUUCUGUUUACUGUUUGUAUUUUAAAGAAGAGUAGUUGAAUACAUUAUGUGUGUUUGUGGAUA